RNAcentral lists this unclassified non-coding RNA (1044 nucleotides) under Hevea brasiliensis (rubber tree). The record is from RNAcentral. Lineage: Eukaryota; Viridiplantae; Streptophyta; Magnoliopsida; Malpighiales; Euphorbiaceae.
UUGGUGGUUUCCUCCAAAAUCUUCGAAGUCUGUUACUUCCAUCCUUAAUACUUUCUUUACUAGUAUUUGCUCCUUUCGCUAGUCCAUCAGAAAAAGAAUGGGGACUGCUUGUAAGAGUCAGCAUAAGACAUGCUAAACCAAAGAUCCUCAAUAAUAUUAGAAACUUCCCAUACAACCUACACAUUCACGCUUUAAGUUACUAGUAAUCAAGGACUGCGAGAUCACCGGGAAGAAAAAGACACCAAUAAGGUGGAAGCAUUCGAAGUGUAAGAAUGAAUAUCUAUAUCAAGGAAAAUCAUGACUUUCAAAUACAAUAAAUAAACGAUUGUAAAUGGAUUGGGGAGAAAAGAUUAAAAAAAUAAGAGGUAACAUAAGGACAUCAUAAGUAAUUUGAUAAGUUAUUAGUAAACAUAAUUACAAUUUUACGCUUAUGUCAUAAGAUGCAUUGACCAGAUUUAAUACCUAAAUUUUGGAUAACAAUUGGGGAUUUUUUAGUAAGUAAUACUGAGUUACAAGAUAUAUUGCUUCAUACUAAAAUUAAAAAGAACUGAAUACCACGUUAUAAGAUAAGAAUUUCAUUCGCAAACAACUCCAACGAAUAGAUAAUCGAAUCUGUGGCUAAAUAAGCGAUAUCCAAAUUUAGAAGUCUAAUAAUAGAAAUCAUUAGAUCUGAAAAAGAAAUUCCAUGGUCAACUGACACUGUCCGUUUAUGAGAGAUUCACAAGCACUGGGGAAACUAACAAAUAGAUAAAAGAGCAUCAGGUAAUAAAAUUCUUACAUCCAACCUGUAAUUGCGGAACUAAGACUUCAAAAAUCAAAACUGCAUUGCAUUGUUGUUAUUUAUUUGCAAUUCAACAAAUCCACAAAAUUAACCCAAAGCUAACUAAUAUUUAAAGCAAAAGAGCUCGAUUCUAUCUCAAAUACCCACAAAAACCACACACCAACCUCCAACGUAAACUCAAACACGAUCAAGCUCAUCAAGCUAAACUUGUUAUCAUCCAUCAAAUACCAAAGCAACUCCGGAGAGAGAGAGAGAGAGAGAGA